Molecule: ribosomal RNA, 253 nt
Filed under: uncultured bacterium
Lineage: Bacteria
Description: partial 16S ribosomal RNA
Rfam family: Bacterial small subunit ribosomal RNA
Source: RNAcentral
UACGUAGGGCGCAAGCGUUGUCCGGAAUUAUUGGGCGUAAAGAGCUCGUAGGCGGUUUGUCGCGUCUGCUGUGAAAACCUGGGGCUUAACCCCGGGCCUGCAGUGGGUACGGGCAGACUAGAGUGUGGUAGGGGAGACUGGAAUUCCUGGUGUAGCGGUGAAAUGCGCAGAUAUCAGGAGGAACACCGGUGGCGAAGGCGGGUCUCUGGGCCAUAACUGACGCUGAGGAGCGAAAGCGUGGGGAGCGAACAGG